AAAGAAACCAACAGGGAUUGCCCCAGUAACGGCGAGUGAAGCGGCAACAGCUCAAAUUUGAAAUCUGGCCCUAGGCCCGAGUUGUAAUUUGCAGAGGAUGCUUUGGGCGCGGUGCCUUCCGAGUUCCCUGGAACGGGACGCCAUAGAGGGUGAGAGCCCCGUCUGGUCGGACACCAAGCCUAUGUAAAGCUCCUUCGACGAGUCGAGUAGUUUGGGAAUGCUGCUCAAAAUGGGAGGUAUAUGUCUUCUAAAGCUAAAUACCGGCCAGAGACCGAUAGCGCACAAGUAGAGUGAUCGAAAGAUGAAAAGCACUUUGAAAAGAGAGUUAAACAGCACGUGAAAUUGUUGAAAGGGAAGCGUUCAUGACCAGACUUGGCCCGGUUGAUCAUCCAGCGUUCUCGCUGGUGCACUCUGCCGGUCCAGGCCAGCAUCAGUUCGCCGCGGGGGAUAAAGGUUUCGGGAAUGUGGCUCCCUCGGGAGUGUUAUAGCCCGUUGCGUAAUACCCUGCGGUGGACUGAGGUCCGCGCUCUGCAAGGAUGCUGGCGUAAUGGUCAUCAACGACCCGUCUUGAAACACGGACCAAGGAGUCGUCUUCGUAUGCGAGUGUUCGGGUGUAAAACCCCUACGCGUAAUGAAAGUGAACGGAGGUGGGAGCUUCGGCGCACCAUCGACCGAUCCUGAUGUUCUCGGAUGGAUUUGAGUAAGAGCAUACGGGGCCGGACCCGAAAGAAGGUGAACUAUGCCUGUAUAGGGUGAAGCCAGAGGAAACUCUGGUGGAGGCUCGCAGCGGUUCUGACGUGCAAAUCGAUCGUCAAAUAUGGGCAUGGGGGCGAAAGACUAAUCGAACCUUCUAGUAGCUGGUUUCCGCCGAAGUUUCCCUCAGGAUAGCAGUGUUGAACUCAGUUUUAUGAGGUAAAGCGAAUGAUUAGGGACCCGGGGGCGCUAUUUUGCCUUCAUCCAUUCUCAAACUUUAAAUAUGUAAGAAGCCCUUGUUGCUUAAUUGAACGUGGGCAUUCGAAUGUAUCAAC
RNAcentral lists this ribosomal RNA (1028 nucleotides) under Inaequalispora cylindrospora. Its description in RNAcentral is "eukaryotic LSU rRNA". It matches the Rfam family "Eukaryotic large subunit ribosomal RNA", at positions 58 to 1121 of the family's 3401-position model. The record is from RNAcentral. Lineage: Eukaryota; Fungi; Ascomycota; Sordariomycetes; Hypocreales; Stachybotryaceae.